UACGUAGGGGGCAAGCGUUGUCCGGAAUUACUGGGCGUAAAGCGCCUGUAGGCGGGAACGUGCGUCGGACGUGAAAGGCGGGGGCUCAACCCCCGAGCGGCGUUCGAAACGGCGUUUCUUGAGGGUCGAAGAGGAGCGUGGAAUUCCCGGUGUAGCGGUGAAAUGCGUAGAGAUCGGGAGGAACACCCAUGGCGAAGGCAGCGCUCUGGUCGGCAUCUGACGCUGAGAAGCGAAAGCAUGGGGAGCGAACAGG
RNAcentral lists this ribosomal RNA (253 nucleotides) under uncultured bacterium. RNAcentral describes it as "partial 16S ribosomal RNA". It matches the Rfam family "Bacterial small subunit ribosomal RNA", at positions 524 to 776 of the family's 1533-position model. The record is from RNAcentral.